UAACUCUAUUUUAUUAUAUUUGCUGGGAAAUGAACUAGCUCAGGGUAAUUAGGAAAGCAAUUUUAUUAGCUUCUAUUUCAUAAAGAUUGUUUUUUAAUCAGAGUCAGAACUUACUAGAAAUGACUCUGUGCUCAUUGCUUGGGUCUCAGGAAAUGAAGUGGGGCACUGUAGGUCCUAACCCACAGUAAAGCCAAUGUGAUGAA
RNAcentral lists this long non-coding RNA (203 nucleotides) under Homo sapiens (human). Its description in RNAcentral is "non-protein coding lnc-BCL11A-12:1". Lineage: Eukaryota; Metazoa; Chordata; Mammalia; Primates; Hominidae. The record is from RNAcentral.